This 82-nucleotide small RNA is filed under the name Cricetulus griseus (Chinese hamster). The record is from RNAcentral. Lineage: Eukaryota; Metazoa; Chordata; Mammalia; Rodentia; Cricetidae.
UCCCAUCCAAAUACUAAUCAGGCCCAACCCUGUUUAGCUUCCAAGAUCAGACAAGAUCGGGGGUGUUCAGGGUGGUAUGGCC